This 1698-nucleotide long non-coding RNA is filed under the name Ricinus communis (castor bean). RNAcentral's name for it is "long non-coding RNA (RCOM_LNC002734)". Lineage: Eukaryota; Viridiplantae; Streptophyta; Magnoliopsida; Malpighiales; Euphorbiaceae. The record is from RNAcentral.
UGAAGAGUGUUGAAAUUUUAUUAAAAAUGGACGAUAUUUAAAGUGACGAGCAUUGUAGAGUGUAAGGUCGAAAACUUAGAGUGUCGACUAUUCACAAAGAAUAUGAAAUCUGUCGGUCACACCUGCUAUAGACACUGAUAAACAAGACUUGACACUCUUUGACGUCACGAGCAUAUGAUCGGCACUAUGACUAGCGAUCACAUGCCUUCCCAUUUAUAUAUAUAUUAUAUAUACACUUCUCCUUUCUUUCGGUUUGGUUAGUUUCUUUUACUCCUGUGAGUUUUCUCCUUUCUUCUAUACGACUAUCGAUCAAAUUAGAAAAAAAAUAGAGAGAAAGAAAAAUAAUACAGAGCAAAAAAUAAAGAAAAAGAGAAAGGGUUGGGUGAGGUAAAAAGAGUUGUUAUUUUGAGAUAGCGUGAAGAACUUACGUGGGGUAAGAAGUACUUGUUUUUUUUUUUUCAGUUUAUUAAAUUAUAAUAUAUAUUAUAAUUUUAUGAUAUUCUUUUUUAUUUUAAUUUAAAUUGUAGAUUAUUAAUACAAAAAACAGAUAAAAAAGAAAGAGCUGCACGAGGUACGUAGAAAUUUUUUACGUGAAACUAUUUGUGUAUUUAUUUUAUUUUAUGAUGUUUAUAUUUUUAUUAAUUUUUACUUUAUUUCUAUAUUUCAUUAUAGAUUUUGAUGUGUUGUAUUUGUUAUGUGAUGUUUAUAUUAUUUUGAAUUUUUUUAGUUAAAUAAAUAAAGAAUUUAAACUAGAAUAAACUAUAUAUUAAUUAUUUUUUGCUUAAUACCAUGUAAACUUAUCUUGAUGCAUACGCUGAAAAUUUUUUAUGAUAAAUUUAUAUGUCUAUUUUAUGUAUAUUGUAUUUGUAUAUAUGUAUAUUAUUUUUUGAUGUUUAUAUGUUUCUGUUUUUUUGUUAUUUAAUUUUAAUUCAUAUAUUAUUGUAAUUUUGAUAUGUAUUUUUAUUUAUAUGUGAUGUUUAUAUUAUGUUAAAUUUUUUGACUUAAAUAAAUUAAAAUUUUAAAUCAAAAUAAAAAUGAUAUAUUUAGAAACAUAAAAAAAUAUAUUUCAUUUUAAAUGCAUUUUUUUUAUUUUAGUUUAAUAUUAAUUUUUAUGUUGUAUCAGUUUUUUAAAAAAUCAUUUUAACUACCAAUAGUAUCAAAUGAUAUUUAAAAAAUUUCAUUGAAAUGUUUUUUUUUUUAAAUCAAAUGCCAUAACCUUUUAAUUACUAAACCAAAUCUUACUAAUAUCACGUGCUAGGAAAUAGUUUUAAAGAAUGUAAUAAUAGAGUUGACGUAUUUUUUACUUUUAAAAUAUGUAUAAUAAUUAAACAUGAUAAGUUUGUCAUGUAUCGUUGCUUAUUGGGCUGGAAAUAUAAUUUAGAAUUAAUCAUAUUUUCUAAAAAAUGAUAAGAAGCAGAGAUAGAUUGUUUAUAUAAAAAUUUAUAGAUGAGAAUAGAUAAUACUCCUAUGGCACCGACCGAGACGUAAUAGAAGACAACCGACUAGUGGUACAGAAGAACAGGUCAAUGGUGUAACCUCUCCUCCACAGGAAAUUGCAGUUAAAAUGGAAGACAUCACCAAUCUUAGCGAGAACUUUGCUAGCGGUUUGUUUAGUUUUGUACCCACGUAAUGUUAACUGGGUGGCUCACGAUGUAGCCAAAAGAAAGCCCCAACUCAUUCUCUUGUCAGCCCGUCUAG